GAUGAACGCUGGCGGCGUGCUUAACACAUGCAAGUCGAACGGGAAACCUUUUAUUGAAGCUUCGGCAGAUUUAGCUGGUUUCUAGUGGCGGACGGGUGAGUAACGCGUGGGUAACCUGCCUUAUAUAGGGGGAUAACAACCAGAAAUGGUUGCUAAUACCGCAUAAGCGCACAGGACCGCAUGGUCCGGUGUGAAAAACUCCGGUGGUAUAAGAUGGACCCGCGUUGGAUUAGCUAGUUGGCAGGGUAACGGCCUACCAAGGCGACGAUCCAUAGCCGGCCUGAGAGGGUGAACGGCCACAUUGGGACUGAGACACGGCCCAGACUCCUACGGGAGGCAGCAGUGGGGAAUAUUGCACAAUGGGGGAAACCCUGAUGCAGCGACGCCGCGUGAAGGAAGAAGUAUCUCGGUAUGUAAACUUCUAUCAGCAGGGAAGAUAGUGACGGUACCUGACUAAGAAGCCCCGGCUAACUACGUG
Molecule: ribosomal RNA, 478 nt
Filed under: uncultured bacterium
Lineage: Bacteria
Description: partial 16S ribosomal RNA
Rfam family: Bacterial small subunit ribosomal RNA
Source: RNAcentral